UUGGGUAUACUGUGGAUGUGUCUAGCCUGUGUCAGACCUAGUUAAUAGGUAUGCUUUAGGAGGGGCUUGCGCCAUAUUAGUUAGUUGGUAGGGUAAUGGCCUACCAAGACGAUGAUGUGUAGCUGGACUGAGAGGUUGAACAGCCACAUUGGGACUGAGACACGGCCCAAACUCCUACGGGAGGCAGCAGUAGGGAAUUUUCGGCAAUGGAGGAAACUCUGACCGAGCAACGCCGCGUGAAUGACGAAGUACUUCGGUAUGUAAAGUUCUUUUAUCGAGGAAGAAAAGCAAAUGGCGAACCAUUUGUUUGCCGGUACUUGAUGAAUAAGCCCCGGCUAAUUAUGUGCCAGCAGCCGCGGUAAGACAUAAGGGGCAAGUGUUAUCCGGAAUUAUUGGGCGUAAAGGGUGCGUAGGCGGUCUAGUAAGUCAGUGGUGUAAUGGCAACGCUUAACGUUGUCCGGCUAUUGAAACUGCUAAACUUGAGUUAGAUAGAGGCGAGUGGAAUUCCAUGUGUAGCGGUAAAAUGCGUAAAUAUAUGGAGGAACACCAGAGGCGUAGGCGGCUCGCUGGGUCUUAACUGACGCUGAGGCACGAAAGCGUGGGGAGCAAACAGGAUUAGAUACCCUGGUAGUCCACGCCGUAAACGAUGAGUACUAAGUGUCGGGUUAAACCGGUACUGAAGUUAACACAUUAAGUACUCCGCCUGAGUAGUACGUACGCAAGUAUGAAACUUAAAGGAAUUGACGGGACUCCGCACAAGCGGUGGAUCAUGUUGUUUAAUUCGAAGAUACCCGAAAAACCUUACCAGGUCUUGACAUGUUUUUGCAAAAUGAUAGUAAUAUCGUGGAGGUUACCAGAAACACAGGUGGUGCAUGGUUGUCGUCAGCUCGUGUCGUGAGAUGUUAGGUUAAGUCCUAAAACGAGCGAAACCCUUAUCGUUAGUUGCCAGCACGUUAUGGUGGGGGACUUUAACGAGACUGCCAAUGAUAAAUUGGAAGGAAGGUGAAGGAUCACGUCAAAAUCAGCAUGCCCCCUUAUGACCUGGGGCUACAAACGUGAUACAAUGGCUGUUACAAAGGGUAGCUGAAACGCAAGUUCUUGGCCAAUCCCCAAAAACAGUCCCAGUCCCGGAUUGAAGUCUGCAACUCGACUUCAUGAAAGUGGGAAUCCCUAGUAAUCGCGAAUCAGCAUGUCCCGUGAAAACAUUUCCCGGGUUGUUACCCCCACCCCCCCCUCCAUAUACAAAAACCCCCCUUUUUUAUAUACAUAAUAUUUAGGAGUUGUGGUGUGGUGUGUGUGUUUAAAUGUUGUUUUUUUAA
Molecule: ribosomal RNA, 1319 nt
Filed under: Phytoplasma sp.
Lineage: Bacteria; Bacillati; Mycoplasmatota; Mollicutes; Acholeplasmatales; Acholeplasmataceae
Description: bacterial SSU rRNA
Rfam family: Bacterial small subunit ribosomal RNA
Source: RNAcentral